UAGAAGUUUGAUCUUGGUUUAGGACGAACGCUGGCGGCGUGCUUAACACAUGCAAGUCGAACGGAAAGGCCCUUGCUUGCAGGGGUACUCGAGUGGCGAACGGGUGAGUAACACGUGGGUGAUCUGCCCUGUACUUCGGGAUAAGCCUGGGAAACUGGGUCUAAUACCGGAUAGGACUGCAUCGAUUGGUGGUGUGGUGGAAAGAUGUUUUUCGGUAUGGGAUGAGCCCGCGGCCUAUCAGCUUGUUGGUGGGGUAAUGGCCUACCAAGGCGGCGACGGGUAGCCGGCCUGAGAGGGUGGACGGCCACAUUGGGACUGAGAUACGGCCCAGACUCCUACGGGAGGCAGCAGUGGGGAAUAUUGCACAAUGGGCGCAAGCCUGAUGCAACGACGCCGCGUGAGGGAUGACGGGCUUCGGGUUGUAAACCUCUUUCGCUAGGGACGAAGCCAUCGUUGUGGUGGUGACGGUACCUGGAUAAGAACACCGGCUAUACUACGUGCCAAGGAGCCGCGUUGAUACGAUCUCCGAUGCC
RNAcentral lists this ribosomal RNA (533 nucleotides) under Corynebacteriaceae bacterium P9. RNAcentral describes it as "bacterial SSU rRNA". It matches the Rfam family "Bacterial small subunit ribosomal RNA", at positions 1 to 536 of the family's 1533-position model. The record is from RNAcentral. Lineage: Bacteria; Bacillati; Actinomycetota; Actinomycetes; Mycobacteriales; Corynebacteriaceae.